This 587-nucleotide long non-coding RNA is filed under the name Olea europaea subsp. europaea. Lineage: Eukaryota; Viridiplantae; Streptophyta; Magnoliopsida; Lamiales; Oleaceae. The record is from RNAcentral.
AAAUAACUUCACAAAAUGCCCUCACGAGUAUGCCCUUUAUACAAAGGUAAAUGAGAAAGGAGAUAUUUUGCUUGUUUGUUUGUAUGUAGAUGAUCUUAUAUUUACAGGAAAUAAUCAAAGUAUGAUCACUGAGUUUAAGAAGGUCAUGGCUCAAGAAUUUGAGAUGACGGAUAUCGGCCACAUGGCCUACUAUCUUGGGAUAGAGGUAAAGCAAAUGGAGGACUGCAUUUUCAUCUCACAAGAAGGAUAUGCGAAAGAAAUUCUAAAGAAAUUCAAUAUGGAGGACUGUAAGCCCGUAUGCACCCCCGUCGAAUGCGGAAUCAAGUUGUCGAAGAAUGAUGAAGGUGAAAAGGUAAAUCCAACACUUUUUAAGAGUCUUGUUGGAAGUCUAAGAUAUUUGACGUGCACAAGACCAGAUAUCCUUUUUGGAGUUGGGCUCAUUAGUCGCUAUAUGGAGACACCUACCAUGACCCAUAUGAAAACUGCAAAGAGAAUUCUUCGCUACAUCAAAGGUACGCUUGAUUAUGGCUUAGUCUAUUCAUCAUCUAAUGAGUUCAAACUUGUUGGAUAUAGUGACAGCGAUUGGG